This 253-nucleotide ribosomal RNA is filed under the name uncultured bacterium. RNAcentral's name for it is "partial 16S ribosomal RNA". It matches the Rfam family "Bacterial small subunit ribosomal RNA", at positions 524 to 776 of the family's 1533-position model. The record is from RNAcentral.
UACGUAGGGUCCGAGCGUUGUCCGGAAUUAUUGGGCGUAAAGAGCUCGUAGGCGGUUUGUCGCGUCUGCUGUGAAAUCCCGAGGCUUAACCUCGGGUCUGCAGUGGGUACGGGCAGACUGGAGUGCGGUAGGGGAGAAUGGAAUUCCUGGUGUAGCGGUGGAAUGCGCAGAUAUCAGGAGGAACACCGAUGGCGAAGGCAGUUCUCUGGGCCGUAACUGACGCUGAGGCGCGACAGCGUGGGGAGCAAACAGG